UACGUAGGGUGCUAGCGUUGUUCGGAAUCAUUGGGCGUAAAGCGCGUGUAGGUGGUUAAGUAAGUCGGGUGUGAAAUCCCUCGGCUCAACCGAGGAAGUGCAUCCGAAACUACUUAGCUAGAGGACGGUAGAGGAAGGUGGAAUUCCAAGUGUAGAGGUGAAAUUCGUAGAUAUCUGGAGGAACACCGGUGGCGAAGGCGGCAUCCUGGACCGACACUGACGCUGAGGAGCGAAAGCCAGGGGAGCAAACGGG
This 253-nucleotide ribosomal RNA is filed under the name uncultured prokaryote. Its description in RNAcentral is "partial 16S ribosomal RNA". It matches the Rfam family "Bacterial small subunit ribosomal RNA", at positions 524 to 776 of the family's 1533-position model. The record is from RNAcentral.